AUUGAACGCUGGCGGCAUGCUUUACACAUGCAAGUCGAACGGCAGCGCGGGGCAACCUGGCGGCGAGUGGCGAACGGGUGAGUAAUAUAUCGGAACGUACCCAGAAGUGGGGGAUAACGUAGCGAAAGUUACGCUAAUACCGCAUACGAUCUACGGAUGAAAGUGGGGGACCUUCGGGCCUCAUGCUUUUGGAGCGGCCGAUAUCUGAUUAGCUAGUUGGUGAGGUAAAGGCUCACCAAGGCGACGAUCAGUAGCUGGCUGAGAGGACGACCAGCCACACUGGGACUGAGACACGGACCAGACUCCUACGGGAGGCAGCAGUGAGGAAUAUUGGACAAUGGGCGCAAGCCUGAUCCAGCCAUGCCGCGUGCAGGAAGAAGCAUCUAUGGUGUGUAAACUGCUUUUGUACGGGAAGAAACACUCCUACGUGUAGGAGCUUGACGGUACCGUAAGAAUAAGGAUCGGCUAACUCCGUGCCAGCAGCCGCGGUAAUC
This 494-nucleotide ribosomal RNA is filed under the name uncultured bacterium. RNAcentral's name for it is "bacterial SSU rRNA". It matches the Rfam family "Bacterial small subunit ribosomal RNA", at positions 30 to 525 of the family's 1533-position model. The record is from RNAcentral.